Brachypodium distachyon (stiff brome) is the source of this 6659-nucleotide RNA transcript. It is a transcript of the gene named 2-hydroxy-6-oxononadienedioate/2-hydroxy-6-oxononatrienedioate hydrolase, with no coding region annotated. The record is from RefSeq and is a predicted model, not a curated record. NCBI's taxonomy places the organism in Eukaryota, Viridiplantae, Streptophyta, Magnoliopsida, Poales, Poaceae. The transcript has 6 exons.
CGGCUAACCCUAACUCCUUGUGGCCAUUCCCCAUCUCUAUCACACGCCGCCAGUCUGCCGCUGCUCUUGCCUCUAGUUUUCCCAGAUCCCAUCGAUCUCCGGCGAGCGCCCAACCCGUCCGCCCCGGCACGUCCCCACCCUCGCCACUGCUCCCUGAAGCACGACCUCUCAACUGAGCAGUCGGUGGCUCUGCCUGGGCAAAAUCCUGACCGCCUCAACCCCUCCGUGCUGGCCUUCUUCCCGGGCUCCGGCGGAGCGCCGCCUACAGGAGCACCUCGGAGUUUGCUAGAGCCCUCGCAGGAACUCCCUAAUUUGCCCCUCGCCAAUCGCAACACCUCCUGUGCGAAACCUCGAGCGCCUUAACCCCUUCGCGCACUCCUUCCCGGCCUGCUCCGGCGGAGCGCCACCUCCAGGAGCACCGCGCAGCCACCUAGAGUUUCCCGGCGCCCUCGGCUGAAGAUCCUGCGCCUCGAGUCGACCCCGCCACGGCACCCUUGCUGGCCGUCUUGGACCUGUGUCGCCACCCUCGUCCGACUGCACCAAGCACUCCAACUGUUCCGCGGGGGAAGAUGCCUCAACUUGGCAUGGAAUUUUAGCACCGUGGAUUAGCAUCAUAAAGAGAACACGUUGAAGCAGGUUUGAUGGUAUAGUCGUUUCAUGCAGAUAUAUUUGUUUCAAAGAGGGUAAAACUUAGCAUAUAAGAGAGAUCAUCUUACUAGUAUUUUGUAUGCUACUGUUCUUACUCUCCUGGUUGCUACCGUAGCUUUUAGUAUGCUACUGUUCUUGCUCUCCUGUUUGAGAAACAAUAUAGUACUCCCUCCGUUUCAUAAAGGUUGGCACGGAUUUGAACUAGAGCUAGUUCAAAGCCACGCCAAUCUUUAUGGAACGGAGGGAGUAGUAUAGUAAGAUAUUGGUUCUUGAUAUUAUUGAUGAUUUCAGCAAAGUGUUUGCACGUUAUCCAUGUAUGAUCAAAUAUGAAACUGUUGUAUUCAUUCAAUUUGGUAGCUAAAGAGGCAAAAGAGGUGUUUCCCCCCCUCCAGAGUGAUGUUUUCUGCCUCUGACUUUCGUUGAGCGAGGUACCGGCUCCUAGGCUAGAUGUGUACCUUCGUUGUUAAAGUCAGCAUGGUUCCUUAAUGCACUUUGCUUAGGUUUUUCUUUAUUGUAUGUUGCUGCUUUGUAGAUCUUAAAAAGUUGAAGGUCUUCAAUCUGGGGCUUAACCAUAUUUUAAAUGCUAGUUUGGUUCAUCUGAAAGCUAUCCCUUGGGAUUUUGACAAAGGUGUGUGUAUUUAGUACAAAUGCAUGUUGCAGCUGCAUUUUACUAAUGACCUGAUGAAAAAUGAAGUAAAGUAAAAGCUAACCAUUGCUUUGGUGUCCUGCAAUCUAGCCAUUGUUUCGAUUAUGUGCAAUUAAACUGAUACAUUAGCAGAUGUGUUGAUAACUCUUUUGUUAUCUGUUCUUACAAACAGGUAUAACUCAUUUACUAUUGUGUUUUCUCAGUGUAUUAGUUUUUGAACAUGUGCUUAUCAUACAUUUUAAACUUGCAGCAGGUGUAACAAAGGAUUUCAUCUGGCUAAUGAGCUGCUUUUGGGCUUGAUACUUCAAAAGAUCUGGAAUGUUUGUAGAUGCUGAUUUCGAAUAUGUCGAGGCAUUAGAUUGGCAGAACUUGCUUGAUCGGUCUGUGUUAUACAAUCUCUUCUAUUUAGUAUCCAUUGUGCUAUGCUGAAUAUAUCCAAGUACUUGGCAUUGUAUUAUGAUCUGUGUGUAUAUUAUUAAAUGAUUUAUAUCGAUUUUUGUUUAUGGUCAAAGUUUGGUGAUUCCUCAAUGCCUGAAUGUUGCUGUAAUUCUGUUGAUGCAUGGACGUUGUUGUAGUUCUGUUGAUGGAUAUUGUGAUGGAUGGUUGAUGUGAAUUAAGUGUGGUAUUUCUACUUUCUGCAUCGGAAAAUAGGAAAAUUUUCAAUUAAUUAUUGUGAGAUGGUUGGCAUACUGUCUGUCAGCAAGUCAAAAAAUGAUGACACACUGUCUGUCAGAAUAGAUUGUAAAACGAUGUCAUGUUGUCUGUCAGCAUUUAUCAGGAGAAGAUGGCAUAUUGUCUGUCAGGAAUUUUCCAAUAUAACGUGGCAAAUUGUCUGUCGGCAUAUUGAUGUAUAGAAGGCACGCAGUCUGUCAGGAAAACAAAAGUCUGUUGGCAUUGAUUUUAGAGGACGGCCAGCUUCCUGACAAACGUGGCUGACAGUUUGUCUGUCGGCAAAGGCACUUGCUGACAGACCUGCUGCUAGUAGAGCCCAUCUAUGCUGACAGAUAUGCUGACAGACACGCGCGUCGGCUAUCAUAGUGCGUGGUGUAGCUAUAUAUUUAGUUAAUUGAACUUAAAACCGUGACAACAUUUAUCUCACGAUUAAGUAUUUUGGAAUUUUAAGGUGUCUAUGAUAUCAGGAAGAGUUAUAGCUCCAUAAUGCCACGAUAAACGGUGCACGUGUCAAAUGAUUUAUCCCUUUUAUUUGUUUUUUAUAUUCUAGGACAAAAUGCGUGCGCGGCUCGGAGCAUGGGAGGCAGCAGGCAGGCUCAGCGUACUCGCCGGUGCUUGGUUAAGGCAGCGCUGGAGAAGAGAAAGAACAGAGGGGAGAGGACGUCAGAGGGAGAAGAAGGCGAGCGACAUGGGGCAAGCCGAAGCGGCCAGCGUGGCCCUGACUUGUGGGCCCCACCGGUCAGAAUGCUUGUUAACAAACCCAAACAUGGAUUAGGAUCUUUGUGCAACGGAUUAGACGUCGAGUGGGUGUUCUCCGCAAAAAUGACGUCGACAGAGUGUUCGGUGCAACAACUCUCCCAAUGCGGUGGAAUGUGCAGUUCCCUGCGUUGGCGAGACUAGAAUAGACCUGUCACUCCAGCGGCGACGAGCAGCAUGCCCGCGCCACCACCGCCUCCGGCUGGCGGACGGCGGCGCUGGAAGCACCGGCUGAGCCCCACGCUCGCGCGGGACCGCUGCUACGCCCGCUCGUUCCGCGCUGCCGGCCUCCGCCAGGCCGCCGUUCCGCUUCCCGACGGGACCGUCCUUCACUUCUUGCUCCCGAGCCCCGACCCGGCCCUCCAUCCCGUCCUCCUCCUCCACGGCUUCGGCGCCAACGCCACCUGGCAGUGGGCUCCCUUCCUCCGUCCGCUCCUCGCUGCCGGCCUGGCCCCCUUUGUCCCCGACCUCGUCUUCUUCGGAGACUCCGCCUCCCCUUCCUCCCACCGAUCCCCGGUCUAUCAGGCUGCCUCCGUCGCCGCCGCCAUGGCUUCCCUCCCCGGCGCGCCGCAGAGGCACGCCGUCGUCGGCGUCAGCUACGGCGGCUUCGUGGCGUACCACCUCGCACAUGCGUUCCCUGCCGUGGUGGAGCGGCUAGUGCUCGUCGCGGCAGGUGUGUGUCUUGAGAAGGCUGAUUUAGCGGCAGGGCUGUUCGCUGUUGAAGAUAUCACGGAAGCGGCCAGCCUGCUGCUGCCGCAGCGACCGGAGGAUCUGAGGAGGUUGGUGGCGCUAACCUUCUGCCGGCCGCCAAAGUUCAUGCCGUCCUGCUUCAUCAGGGACUACAUCAGGGUUAUGUGCACCGAAAAUGUAAAAGAGAAGACUGAGUUGUUAUAUGCCUUGAUAAGUAGUAGGAAGCUUUCGGACCUUCCUAAGAUUAACCAGGCUCUCCUCCUUGGCCGCCUGCCAUCACCUGGCCGCUGCCCGUCCCCUAUCCGUGCCCAGGCCCUCCCAGGCUCCCUCUCUGAUGCGCCUGAUGUGAUGUGCUACGCAUGGGCGCCGGCGCGCUGCCAAGGACACCUUGAUCAACAAGGUUUUCUUCAUCUUCUCUAUUCCUAGAAAACCCUUCCCACAAGGCUUAAAAGAUCCUAUGGAAGGAGUACCCAGCUGAGAGCCAGACUCGGCUGCUGGCGAUGGCGGCACGGCCAGAGACUAACUAACGAAGAGCCUCCGCUGUCCUCUGCUUCUUCUCAGGCAUCCAGACCGCUGCCCCACAAAAUAGGAACAAAAAGGGCAGCUCAUGAUCAGAUUUUGAAGGAAAUUUUGGUUAAGUUGAUGAAUCCAAGUGUGGGAUCCGGAAGGUUUAAUUGCAUUGCACCCGUCGUUUUAACACUUCAACCUAAACGUCUGCAUCGAUCCUUGACCUGGUAAGUGUAUCACUGUAUGUAUCCUAGCAUGCAUUUGCUGCAGAAAAUGCACAAGAUACUACAUCGAAAGAACCCUUAAUUUUGUUCAGCUAUUAUAUAAUUAAGCCCUGAUGCUAUGGAAUUCACAUUCUUGAAACAGGUAGCAGGAAGUUUUUUGUUCUUAUAUUUACUAAUCUAGAAGAAAGCUUACCCUCUAGCUUAUCAAAGCAUAACAUCUACAAUAGUUUUCCUGCCCUUACUAUUUUGAAAUACAGGGGAACCAGUCCUGAAUGGAUUCUGGUGUUUUGAGUAGAGACGAUUGCAUGCAGCCUACGUAUAUACUUGGUCUAUGAAAUUUAGGAGUUAGAAAAGAUCCAUGUACAGAUAGGUAAUGGCUUUUGUUCUUGUUCUCAUUUCUACAUUCCUCCCUUUUUAUAUUACUCUUUAGCUAAACUAAAGAAGUAUAGAUGAAUUAUGUUAUGCUUUUCAAUAUAGAUAUUUGUGCAGGAAAAGUUGGAUUGAGUGGGUGCAAGAGAUGGCUGCCAAAUAAAAAAAAUCACAUGUCUUAGUUACAAAUCUUAUUAGCUGUCUAUGUUUUCGUUCUAACAACUGAUAACCUCAGACUUUAUCCAUUUUGCAUGGAUUCAGUUUGUUUCGUACAUAUCAUCUCUUUUAACAACUCUCACUUUACUGUAAUUACUCUGAACAACAGAUAAACUGCAAUUUCCUUUUACUGAAACUUAUCUGAAGCUACGACUACAACUAGCUAGCGUAAGACAACGAGGUGCCGAACAGCCGAAGGGAGUACAUGGAGAAGGAAAUGGUAUACUCAAUUGAUCACCUGCAAACUCUUUCUAAUUUCAGUUCCCAAUCUCUUUCUGAAGGGAAGGGAGUACAUGGAGAAGGUAACAUAGUUCACCUUGGCUUGAAUUUGUGCUACGAGUGUGUUGUAGAGUUCAUUCUGAGUCCACAGAAAUAAUAAAGAAGAUUCCAUACGGAAAAUGAUUCAUGUGAACAAAAGAACUUUAUGUUGAUUCUCAUUGUGCAUCUGUCAUUGCUCAAUGUAUAUAUUCCAUAUGUUGGUGUGAAAGCAUCUUAGUUUAUGUUUAAAAAGAGUCAUAUCGAGGGAGGGAAGAACUCAGUACCAGCUAAUGAUGUUUUGGGUAGUAAUAUCGAAGUGAUUAGUGGUAAAACAUGUAUAUUUUCUGUAGGGGUUAUCAAAGUAGCAUGAAUAUGCGUGCAUAUGGGAAAUGAAGUAUAAAAAAUCAUGUACUUACAUAGCUUCCAAACAGAUGCUGGAAAUUGUAGCUAUUUAUUCUGGAAUUAUUGGAAGAUUUCAAGUUGAUUUUAAAUGAAGGGUGGACUCAGCCCAAACGAAUUUGGAUAGUCGACAGUUCACAAUUAUUGAGUUUUAACCAAUGAGGUUGCUCAAUGUAGGGUGCACUUGAUUCCUUUUAAAAACAUUAACUCUAUAUUUUGGACUAGCUGAAUCAGACAUACUGGUUAUUAAGGGACAUUAAUUGCUAUUAAAAAUAAACAAUAUUCCCUAUUAUCAAAGGUAGAUGUCAUUUACUACCACCCACCUGUCUGUUUUAGAAAUAUACUGGUCACACAUUUUCUUCUCUAAAAAAAGAUCCAAAAUAUCAAAUUCCUAUUACUAGAUUCAUAAUGAGUAUGCUUUUAUACUAUAUAAUUACUUUUACAUGAGGCAACAUGUCUGCACAAAAAUUGAUGGUCAAGAUACCAUCUUCUUGAAGACUGACACACAUCCUAAAAGAUUUAAGUUUUCAAUUAUAAGAACUACAAUCUAGGUUAGAAAAAUUGUAAGCCUCUUUUAGUCCAUUUGUAGGCAGUUAAUUAUGAUCCGACCACUACGCAUUUGCAAUCUCAAUUGAUUGAGUACUCUGAAUUGUACAUCCAAAACUAGGAGGUUUCAUGACUACUAAGUGAACUUUUGUCAAAGCACCGAACCCGCUUGCUCAAGUGUGUUAUUAAACUAUUCAUAUGUCCUCUGUAAUAACCACAACAUACUGAAAAAAUAGUCAACGAUUGACUAUUAAUAUAUUCUCUUUUAAAAUAAGCAUGUUACAAGUAAAAAUAUCCGAUUGGCUAUUAGGUGAGUAAUGUUUGAAUGGUAUAUUAAGCAUAAUUUAUUUUCAAAAUAUUUAUGAAACAUCAAAAGCGUUGCCUGCGCAGAUGCGCAGGCCACUCUGCUAGUUUGUUGCAAACUAUGUUAAUUUUGCAGCAAACCUUGAUAAUUUUUGGAGAACAGGAUAGGGUCUUUCCAUUAGAACUUGGCCUACGUCUGAAAAGGUUUGUCUGUUAUAACUACUAGUUACUAACCUCAUCAUAUCCAAGCUUCCAUUACGACACAAUUAAUAUUGGUGUAAAUUCAGACAUUUGGGGGAUACGUCAGAACUAAUCAUCAUAAAAAACGCUGGCCAUGCCAUAAACCGUGAAAGGCCAGCAGAGCUUUGCAGACUUAUAAAGAACUACAUCUGUGAUCCUUCAGUCAAAUACCGGGAUGAUCGCAA